GGGGAUUUGGCUCAGUGGUAGAGCACGUGCCUAGCAAGCGCAAGGCCCUGGGUUCGGUCCCCAGCUCCA
This 69-nucleotide transfer RNA is filed under the name Rattus norvegicus (Norway rat). It matches the Rfam family "tRNA". From Rfam's summary of the family: Transfer RNA (tRNA) molecules are approximately 80 nucleotides in length. Their secondary structure includes four short double-helical elements and three loops (D, anti-codon, and T loops). Further hydrogen bonds mediate the characteristic L-shaped molecular structure. tRNAs have two regions of fundamental functional importance: the anti-codon, which is responsible for specific mRNA codon recognition, and the 3' end, to which the tRNAs corresponding amino acid is attached (by aminoacyl-tRNA synthetases). tRNAs cope with the degeneracy of the genetic code in two manners: having more than one tRNA (with a specific anti-codon) for a particular amino acid; and 'wobble' base-pairing, i.e. permitting non-standard base-pairing at the 3rd anti-codon position. Lineage: Eukaryota; Metazoa; Chordata; Mammalia; Rodentia; Muridae. The record is from Rfam by way of RNAcentral.